Molecule: long non-coding RNA, 1314 nt
Filed under: Phascolarctos cinereus (koala)
Lineage: Eukaryota; Metazoa; Chordata; Mammalia; Diprotodontia; Phascolarctidae
Description: lncRNA (ENSPCIG00000031352.1)
Source: RNAcentral
CAACCUCCCAAGGUGCUCUAUUCCAUUUGGGGAUAAGUUUAUUGGAAAGUAUUCUCCCUUAUAUCAAGAAGAAUCUGUGCUUUCUCUUUCUACCCAUUGUUUGACAUUUUUGUUUUUGUUUUUCUCUUCCAGAGGCUAAGGGAAAUAAAUCCAAACUACUUUUUCACUUGGCAUCCCUGCAAACACUUGAAGACAAUCAUCAUGUUUCCUCUGAGUCUUCUUUCUUCAAAUAAUCUUCAUAUAAAGUGGUCUCUGAUUUUCUUGCCAUCCUGGUUGCCCCUCCUUUCUCUUGGGAGGGCCUAACACUGCACUUCCAAAGUAUGAGACCUGGAACUGAAGUCAGUUCUCCAGAAGUGGCCUGGCGGGGGCAGAGGCAAGCUCACUGACUUCUUCUGUCUCUGUUUCUGGCCUUUGUGCUUUUAGUGAUGGAGUCUAAGAUCAAAUUAGCUUAGUUUGGGUUGCCUUGUCACACUGUUGGCUCAUCGAGCUUGACCACACUAUGAAAUCAAGAAUGAACAACAAGGGAAGUAAGACAAAGGGAAGGAAGGAGUCAUAAGAAAUGAAGCUAACAAGGAAAACACAACAGAUUUUUUUUUUGGCAAAGUUCCAGGGUGCUAUAUCUGCCACAUUGAGUUUCUAGGAAGGAAAGAAGACAAUCAUGGAGGCUACCAAAACCUGGCAUAUAGUGGUGUUCAGGAUAUGAGAGAAAGAAUGAUGGGAGUCAGUGAAGGUCCUUCAGAGUCACUACUCUUGAACUGGAAACAUCCAGGCUUCACUAAGUUCCUGCAUCUCUUAGUCAAUUUAUGAGACAGAUGGGUCCUUAAUCAACUCCACAGGACAACUAAGGGAAGACCCAAGGUCAUGGAACUUGUCUCAUGCAGAUGUAUUUGGUUGUAUCUCUGAUGUCACAGGCAAGGAGAUGCUAAGAAUGGGCUGAUGACUCGCAUCGGAGAAGAAAGCAUGAGUGAUAGAAGUUGAUAGAAAAGGCAUAAAGGUGGGGGUGGGGGAUUAGACAGAAGAUAGGGGCAUGUCAAGAAUAGAAGAAGCCUUCUGCAUUUGGGCCUUGUGGAUUUCAGAGAGGCCAAAAACUUCUUCCCAAAACAGAUGCUUUCUGACUAUUACAGCCCCAGAGGACAAAACCAGGACUAAUGGAUAGAACUGUAGUGAAGCACAUUUUAGCUCCAUAAAAAGAAAAAUGUCAUAACAAUUAGAGUUGUUUAACAAUGAAAUGGACUGCUUUGAAAGGAUUCCCACUCCCUGAGUACCUUCUAGCAGACCAACUUGUUGGGGAGAGAUGCAAUGGAAGAUGUUCCC